GACGAACGCUGGCGGCGUGCCUAAUACAUGCAAGUUGAGCGAUGAAGAUUGGUGCUUGCACCAAUUUGAAGAGCAGCGAACGGGUGAGUAACGCGUGGGGAAUCUGCCUUUGAGCGGGGGACAACAUUUGGAAACGAAUGCUAAUACCGCAUAAUAACUUUAAACAUAAGUUUUAAGUUUGAAAGAUGCAAUUGCAUCACUCAAAGAUGAUCCCGCGUUGUAUUAGCUAGUUGGUGAGGUAAAGGCUCACCAAGGCGAUGAUACAUAGCCGACCUGAGAGGGUGAUCGGCCACAUUGGGAAUGAGACACGGCCCAAACUCCUACGGGAGGCAGCAGUAGGGAAUCUUCGGCAAUGGACGAAAGUCUGACCGAGCAACGCCGCGUGAGUGAAGAAGGGUUUCGGAUCGUAAAAAUCUGUUGGUAGAGAAGAACGUUGGUGAGAGUGGAAAGCUCAUCAAGUGACGGUAACUACCCAGAAAGGGACGGCUAACUACGUG
RNAcentral lists this ribosomal RNA (497 nucleotides) under uncultured bacterium. RNAcentral describes it as "partial 16S ribosomal RNA". It matches the Rfam family "Bacterial small subunit ribosomal RNA", at positions 28 to 507 of the family's 1533-position model. The record is from RNAcentral.